AAUAAAGCGUUAACUAGUCCAGCACAACUUGUACCCGAGACUUCCUGCUGCUCACAGUCACGCAAGCACGCACAUUAUCAGGCUGCGGCUGCUUCAGUGUCCGCUGUAGGCUGUAAAGGAGCGGUGCCCCACCACAGCCUCUCGGAAUGCGACUCUGCUGUGUACGGUGUACCCAACCCUCCAGCACCAGCCUGGCGGCCUCCACCCCGUCAAGAUCCUGCAGCCUCUGAGCUUCCAGGCAGAGCAGCCAUCUUCAGUCACUACGUGAAAAGAACAUUCAGGAACUUUUCUUAUUCGAAGACAGCAAGUGAUGUCCUGAAUAGAACAGGGACAUGUGAAGCAGCACAUUUCAGCGCCCACUUCUUAGGGUCUGUCAGACCUCCAUUACCAUCUCGGCGGUCUCCAAUCCUAGGCUUCUGCAAAACGGCAAAGUUACGGAAGUAAGAGCUGCUUCUGCGGGUUAAGUGAAAGAAACCACGGUGGACCUGGGGGGACAAAUCAUAGAUGCAUAGCAUUUUUUGUUGUACUCAUUUUUUUAAUUUUAUAUUUUUAUUUAUAUUGGGAUAUUAUACAAUUUUCAAAGCUAACAACAGAUUCUUUUUAGUAUGUGUAUUUGAAGCAGAACAAAAGUAUUUCACAAAAGAAGUCCAUAUUACAGUACUAUUGAAAUAUGAGGCAUAGGAUAAUUAUGCAUUUGUGGGUUAUAAACAUAAUACAUUCAUUUUAAAGAAAAAACAUUAAUAGGAAUAACAUUUUGGUUAAAAUAAAUAUGUAAAUGUUAACAGCAACACCUGCAGGAUCGUGACACAAGAACGCUGUUUCGCGACAGACACCAUGUAGAUGGGCAGCAACCAGGAAGCAACUGUCACGUCUCACUGAAUUCACAAUCACUGCGUGUUGCUGAGCGCUUACUUCCACAGGGACACCCUCCGCCAACAUUCCCAAACCUCGGCGUACAAACCAGCCGCCCCUCCCCGCGGUGCCCUGGGGAGCCGGACCAAAGUCUGAAUAAAGUUUAGAAUCAGAUGUCCCUUACAUUUUACUGUUCUUCAAAUCAACUCAAAUGUCUUACUUAAUCAAUACAAGAUUUACUUAUAAACAGAAAUAUAAAGAGAACAUUUUAUAGGUGAUUAUAAAAAUUAAAACUUCUAAUCAUCUUCAUAAUUCAUUGAAAUGAUCCUGUUCAAAAUUAAAAUUUGUCUUUUGCACAGCAGUUUCUUCAAGAAAAAUAUAAACACUUAGAUUAAAAAAAGAUUAUCCCAAACAAAAAGUUUCCACAUGUAGAAAAUAACCAUGGAUUUCCCUGAUCAUUAAAUUCUUCCCAGCUGUUUCUUCCUAGCAGACAGAUUCACCUAAAAGAAACAUUUAAAUCUUUGCUUAAAU
Molecule: long non-coding RNA, 1383 nt
Filed under: Camelus dromedarius (Arabian camel)
Lineage: Eukaryota; Metazoa; Chordata; Mammalia; Artiodactyla; Camelidae
Description: lncRNA (ENSCDRG00005012279.1)
Source: RNAcentral